AGUGAACGCUGGCGGUAGGCCUAACACAUGUAAGUCGAACGGCAGCACAGGAGAGCUUGCUCUCUGGGUGGCGAGUGGCGGACGGGUGAGGAAUACAUCGGAAUCUGCCCAGUCGUGGGGGAUAACGUAGGGAAACUUACGCUAAUACCGCAUACGACCUUCGGGUGAAAGAGGGGGAUCGCAAGACCUCUCGCGAUUGGAUGAGCCGAUGUCGGAUUAGCUAGUUGGCGGGGUAAUGGCCCACCAAGGCGACGAUCCGUAGCUGGUCUGAGAGGAUGAUCAGCCACACUGGAACUGAGACACGGUCCAGACUCCUACGGGAGGCAGCAGUGGGGAAUAUUGGACAAUGGGCGCAAGCCUGAUCCAGCCAUACCGCGUGGGUGAAGAAGGCCUUCGGGUUGUAAAGCCCUUUUGUUGGGAAAGAAAUCUUUCAGGCUAAUACCCUGGGAGGAUGACGGUACCCAAAGAAUAAGCACCGGCUAACUUCGUG
This 490-nucleotide ribosomal RNA is filed under the name uncultured bacterium. RNAcentral's name for it is "partial 16S ribosomal RNA". It matches the Rfam family "Bacterial small subunit ribosomal RNA", at positions 29 to 507 of the family's 1533-position model. The record is from RNAcentral.